RNAcentral lists this long non-coding RNA (3464 nucleotides) under Homo sapiens (human). RNAcentral's name for it is "PREDICTED lncRNA (TCONS_00083995)". Lineage: Eukaryota; Metazoa; Chordata; Mammalia; Primates; Hominidae. The record is from RNAcentral.
ACUUGCUGAGUAAAGGGGCCUUUGGGCCCUGAAUAAUCAGCAGUGGUCGCCAGGUAGUACAUGUCGUGGGCCUUGGGUGAACCUCUGAGACUUACUGGCUUCAGGAAAGAAUGGAAACGGCCUCUCACAGCAGAGAACUGGUCACUGCGCACUGCUCCACAGCUAAGAAAGUUUUCCAGGUGGUCUAGCGCUCCUAACAAACACCUUAUGAUUAUCCUUCAUUCAACAGAGGAGGAGACUGCAGGCAUGCUUCAGUCAGUGUGGUACAGAUCUGACUGAAGACAAAAGUAUAAAUUCAAGAUUACUUCCAUUUCUGCAUAGACAAGUUAUAUCACAUACUAACAAAAAAAAGAAUUCAACAAAAUGAGGAGAGAAACUAUCAUGGCACCAUCCUCAAGCAUGAACAAUUUCUAAGAGUCUGGAGAAAAGCAGGAGGGAAGGCAAACCACAAAGAAGAAACCUCAAAAUAGGUGACUGCCUUCCUUUCAUCACGAAGGGCCAUUCAAAUUUUCUGCCCAUGCCUCCAGGGACUCCCCUAUGGCUGCUGCAGCUGAUAAAGAUGCAUCCAAGAAAACUUCCAAGGAAUGGUCAAUGUGUGGCACAGCUAACUCAGUGAAGGCCAAACUGCUGAAGAAUCUAUUUGUCUUAACUAGCUGAAUUCACCAAUCUGUUUCCCAAAAACUUGUUUUGUGAAAUAUUUUCCUGUAAUAUCUUCAGUGAAUAAAAGAUCUUAUUCUUAUAAAUAUAUAACUUCAGCAUUUCUCAGGGAUUUUUUUUAAAUGCACCCAGCAUUUUUAGGAUUAGCCUGCCAAUUUUAUUGGUCAAUUUUCUGAAUUUGCCAAAUUUAGUGAUUACCAAAAUCCUAUUUGACAAUUUUAAAGAUGUAAGCACUCUUACUGGAUUGGGUAGAGUUUUAGUAAGUUUUGCAUAUUUCUGAGCCUAACGACGAGUUUUUAUUUUGUCCUAACAGCCUUAAUGUUUUAUUCAUAAUUUUUUUCUUAAUAAAACACCUUUUUUUUCAGAUCUGAGCUAUUCAAAACAGCAAUCACUAACCAUAUGUAACUAUUUAAAUUUAGAUCAAUUAAAAUUAAAAUUCAGUUUCUCAAUCAUGCUAGCCACAUUUCAAGUACUCAGUAACCACAUGUGGCUGGUGACUACUAUGUUGGACUAUGCAGAUACAGAUUUCCAUCAUCACAGAAAGUUCUAUGGGACAGUACUGGACAAGACAGUAAUUCCAUUCAAUGUUUUAAAAUUAAAAGGGUACAUGAUAAAAAUUCUUCCAUCCUAACUCCCAGCCAUGUACUUCCCUUCCUUGGAGCCAACUGAUGCUUAUAUAGCACUUUAAGAAACAUUCCGUUUAUCUCUGUCCUACUUCCCUGUUCAUGGGGACCCACUGCUGGAAGAAAAAUAGAACACACAGAGACUGAGGGGCAUAAUGGAAGGGAGACUAAGGGGCGGAGAGGGGGAGAAUUAGUUAAGGAAGAAGCAAACUCGUGGGGAAGGGCAAGACGAGAAUGGGAGGGUCCAAGAAACCCAGACACCUGGCUUCCCACAGCACUCUACACUCUGACAAGUCAACCAGUCAAGCUGCUAUCAACCUUACCAAUACUUAAAACAUACUUGUGAUAAAUCAUUAAUUUUAAUAAUUUGAAGAACAAAACACUCAGAAAAUUGAUCACUCAAUGAACUGGUUUUCUGUGAAUAACAGAGCCCCUAAUUGACCAGAAAUCUUAUUGAUUAAGACAGGGUCUCACUUUGUUACCCAGGAUGGAGUGCAGUGGUGUGUGAUCUCAGCUCACUACAACCUCCACCUCCUGGGCUCAAGCAAUCCUCCUGCCUCAGCCCUGCAAGUAGCUGGGAUUACAAGCAUACACCAUCACACCUGGAUAAUUGUUUUGUAUCUUUUGUAGAGACGGGGUUUCACCAUGUUGCCAAGCUGGUCUCAAACCCCUGAGCUCAGGAGAUCCCCCACCUAGUGCUAGGAUUACAGGUGUGAGCCACUAUGCCUGGCUAAAAUCUUUUAUUUUAAAUCACUAUCUUAGAUUCCUAUAUUUUAGUUUAUGGAAUUUGGACUCAGCAUCACUAUAGGAAAUGCUAUACACAGUGGUUUAAAUGACAGAGGCAAAUAAUUUGCCUCUGAUUUCCCUAACAAAGUCACAUCAAUAAUUUCAAUGCCAUAAGGGUCUUUUGUUAUGAAAAAGCUUAUAACUAGGACUCAAAAGGUCUCUACAGUUCAUUCUUCUACUUCCUCAUUUAAGUAUAUAAUUUUUAAAUCCAUAGAGAAAACAAAUGACUGUUCAUAAGGGCUGACCACAAUUACCAUUCAGGUAAGUGGGUGAGUGGGAAAAAGAACAAGUAUGGUAGGUUCCACUGCCCUGGGCAUGAGGAAAAACUGAGAAGCAAUUUUAUACUUUAUCUCGGGAAAUUGAGCCGUAUGGACUCUCUCUGUUUUCACUUUUCUAAGCGAAAUAUAAUUCAUUUCUUCUCUUCUCAUUGAUUGUGUUUGCCAAAUCUUUAUUUUUUUUGAGACAGAGUUUCGCUCUUGUUGCCCAGGCUGGAGUGCAAUGGCACAAUCUUGGCUUACUGCAACCUCUGCCUCUCGGGUUCAAGCAAUUCUCUUACCUCAACCUCCCGAGCAGCUGGGAUUACAGACAUGCGCCACCACGCCCGGCUAAUCUUUUGUAUUUUUAGUAGAGAUGGGGUUUCUCCAUGUUGGUCAGGCUGGUCAUGAACUCCUGACUUCAGGUGAUCUGCCCGCCUCGGCCUCCCAAAGUGCUGGGAUUACAGGUGUGAGCCACCGUGCCCGGCCAUGUUUGCCAAAUCUUUAAUUACAUCAGACGCUCAACUCUGAAUACUCUUCAAACUGCUCAUUCCCUCACUAAUUACCUCACUAAAUAGCCAAACAGACUGAAAUGCUCAUAUAAAAGGUCCCACUUUUAUAAGGAAGAGGUCACUUGCCAAUCUCCCAAACUGCUAAUUCUUCUUGAACCAUGUCUGCUAUUACAUUACUAAUUGUAUUAGCUUAAAAAUAACCAUGCAAUGCAGAACCUCUGUCUUGCUUUGUAAGAGCAAUCUUCCUUCAUCUUGUAUUUGCUAUUUCUGUAGUUUAUUCUCUCACAAAAGUAUCCUGAAUUUGUUGCUUCAAAUCAUCAUUCUGUUCAUUUCUAAGUGCUAAGUAAAGAAAAUGCUUUUAAAGGGCUAUUUUAUAUUUUAAGUACAUAUUUGGAGAAUAUUAUAGAGUAAGCUUAUAUAUUAAAUUCCUCAAGCCAUCCAUCACAAUGUUUAUUAUGUGUAAAAACCUAAUGACAAAUACUGUAAAGUACCAACUUUCACUUGAAUAUAUGUAAUUUAUCAAAGUACCUAUGUUGUUUCAUUGCUAUGAAAUGAAAAUUAUAAGGUUUUAUCUUAAAAGUAGUUCACGGUAGUUUAGUGAACUUUGACUAUUACCCAACCAGAAAGAAAAU